CUAAUACUUCAUAAUAUCCAUCUCGUAUGGAUUAAAGCUUUAUGCGCUUUGGGAGGGGCCUGCGUAACAUUAGCUUGUUGGUGAGGUAAAAAGCUCACCAAGGCUUCGAUGUUUAACUGGUUUGAGAGGAUGACCAGUCACACUGGGACUGAGAUACGGCCCAGACUCCUACGGGAGGCAGCAGUAAGGAAUCUUCCACAAUGGGGCAACCCUGAUGGAGCAAUACCGCGUGCAGGAUGAAGCGUUUCGGCGUGUAAACUGCUUUUAUCACCGAAGAUUAUGACUGUAGGUGAAGAAUAAGGACCGGCUAACUACGUG
RNAcentral lists this ribosomal RNA (318 nucleotides) under uncultured bacterium. RNAcentral's name for it is "bacterial SSU rRNA". It matches the Rfam family "Bacterial small subunit ribosomal RNA", at positions 163 to 507 of the family's 1533-position model. The record is from RNAcentral.